CACGUAGGGCGCAAGCGUUGUCCGGAAUUAUUGGGCGUAAAGAGCUCGUAGGCGGUCUGUUGCGUCCGCUGUGAAAACUCGGGGCUUAACCCCGAGCCUGCAGUGGAUACGGGCAGACUAGAGGUAGGUAGGGGAGAAUGGAAUUCCCGGUGUAGCGGUGAAAUGCGCAGAUAUCGGGAGGAACACCGGUGGCGAAGGCGCUCAUCUGGCCCAAUACUGACGCUGCAGCGCGAAAGCUAGGGGAGCAAACGGG
This 253-nucleotide ribosomal RNA is filed under the name uncultured bacterium. Its description in RNAcentral is "partial 16S ribosomal RNA". It matches the Rfam family "Bacterial small subunit ribosomal RNA", at positions 524 to 776 of the family's 1533-position model. The record is from RNAcentral.